UACGUAGGGUGCAAGCGUUGUCCGGAAUUAUUGGGCGUAAAGAGCUCGUAGGCGGUUGGUCGCGUCGGCUGUGAAAACCCGGAGCUCAACUCCGGGCCUGCAGUCGAUACGGGCCGACUUGAGUGUUGCAGGGGAGACUGGAAUUCCUGGUGUAGCGGUGAAAUGCGCAGAUAUCAGGAGGAACACCGGUGGCGAAGGCGGGUCUCUGGGCAACAACUGACGCUGAGGAGCGAAAGCGUGGGGAGCGAACAGG
RNAcentral lists this ribosomal RNA (253 nucleotides) under uncultured bacterium. Its description in RNAcentral is "partial 16S ribosomal RNA". It matches the Rfam family "Bacterial small subunit ribosomal RNA", at positions 524 to 776 of the family's 1533-position model. RNAcentral also lists the same sequence under 1 other name. The record is from RNAcentral.